Molecule: unclassified non-coding RNA, 201 nt
Filed under: Hevea brasiliensis (rubber tree)
Lineage: Eukaryota; Viridiplantae; Streptophyta; Magnoliopsida; Malpighiales; Euphorbiaceae
Source: RNAcentral
AACCAAGAAGGAGUUAAUGAUAAAAGAGAUCUCACCACUAGCAACACAACUAUAAUCAAUCAAAGGAUAGAAUAAAUCAUUGUAAGAAUACUCAGUGUUAUGUUUGUGGCAAAAUAGACCAUUAUGCUCGAGAUUGCUGGCAUACAAGAGCAGAAGGGAAUGUUGCAAUAACCUCACAACCUAAAGUUGAAAUUGAAGAAG